RNAcentral lists this ribosomal RNA (431 nucleotides) under uncultured bacterium. RNAcentral's name for it is "bacterial SSU rRNA". It matches the Rfam family "Bacterial small subunit ribosomal RNA", at positions 958 to 1390 of the family's 1533-position model. The record is from RNAcentral.
AACGCGAAGAACCUUACCAGGUCUUGACAUCCUCUGACACCCCUAGAGAUAGGAUCUUCCCCUUCGGGGGACAGAGUGACAGGUGGUGCAUGGUUGUCGUCAGCUCGUGUCGUGAGAUGUUGGGUUAAGUCCCGCAACGAGCGCAACCCUUGAUCUUUUGUGCAAACAUUCAGUUGGAUACUCUAAGGUGACUGCCGGUGACAAACCGCAGGAAGGUGGGGAUGACCUCAAAUCAUCAUGCCCCUUAUGACCUGGGCUACACACGUGCUACAAUGGAUGGUACAAAGGGCUGCAAACCUGCGAAGGUUAUCCAACUCAUAAAGCCAUUCUCCGUUCGGAUUCAGGCUGAAACUCGCCUGCAUGAAGCCGGAAUCGAUAGUAAUCCCGUAUCAGCAUGCCGCGGUGAAUACGUUCCCGGGUCUUGUACACAC